GGGGAAUAUUGGACAAUGGGCGAAAGCCUGAUCCAGCCAUGCCGCGUGUGUGAAGAAGGUCUUCGGAUUGUAAAGCACUUUAAGUUGGGAGGAAGGGUUGUAGAUUAAUACUCUGCAAUUUUGACGUUACCGACAGAAUAAGCACCGGCUAACUUCGUGCCAGCAGCCGCGGUAAUACGUAGGUGGCAAGCGUUGUCCGGAAUUAUUGGGCGUAAAGCGCGCGCAGGUGGUUUCUUAAGUCUGAUGUGAAAGCCCACGGCUUAACCGUGGAGGGUGAUUGGAAACUGGGAGACUUGAGUGCAGAAGAGGAAAGUGGAAUUCCAAGUGUAGCGGUGAAAUGCGUAGAGAUUUGGAGGAACACCAGUGGCGAAGGCGACUUUCUGGUCUGCAACUGACGCUGAGGCGCGAAAGCAUGGGGAGCAAACA
This 426-nucleotide ribosomal RNA is filed under the name uncultured Bacilli bacterium. Its description in RNAcentral is "bacterial SSU rRNA". It matches the Rfam family "Bacterial small subunit ribosomal RNA", at positions 356 to 774 of the family's 1533-position model. Lineage: Bacteria; Bacillati; Bacillota; Bacilli. The record is from RNAcentral.